UACGUAGGGUGCAAGCGUUAAUCGGAAUUACUGGGCGUAAAGCGUGCGCAGGCGGUUGUGCAAGACCGAUGUGAAAGCCCUGGGCUCAACCUGGGAAUUGCAGUGGAUACUGGCGAGCUAGAGUGCGGUAGAGGAUGGUGGAAUUCCCGGUGUAGCGGUGAAAUGCGCAGAUAUCGGGAAGAACACCCGUGGCGAAGGCGGCUCUCUGGGACGGUACUGACGCUGAGACGCGAAAGCGUGGGGAGCGAACAGG
This 253-nucleotide ribosomal RNA is filed under the name uncultured bacterium. Its description in RNAcentral is "partial 16S ribosomal RNA". It matches the Rfam family "Bacterial small subunit ribosomal RNA", at positions 524 to 776 of the family's 1533-position model. The record is from RNAcentral.